GAUGAACGCUAGCUACAGGCUUAACACAUGCAAGUCGAGGGGCAGCAUGAACUUAGCUUGCUAAGUUUGAUGGCGACCGGCGCACGGGUGAGUAACACGUAUCCAACCUUCCGUUUACUCAGGGAUAGCCUUUCGAAAGAAAGAUUAAUACCUGAUAGUAUGGUGAGAUUGCAUGAUAGCACCAUUAAAGAUUUAUUGGUAAACGAUGGGGAUGCGUUCCAUUAGGUAGUAGGCGGGGUAACGGCCCACCUAGCCGACGAUGGAUAGGGGUUCUGAGAGGAAGGUCCCCCACAUUGGAACUGAGACACGGUCCAAACUCCUACGGGAGGCAGCAGUGAGGAAUAUUGGUCAAUGGGCGAGAGCCUGAACCAGCCAAGUAGCGUGAAGGAUGAAGGUCCUACGGAUUGUAAACUUCUUUAUACGGGAAUAAAGUGAGCCACGUGUGGCUUUUUGUAUGUACCGUAUGAAUAAGGAUCGGCUAACUCCGUGCCAGCAGCCGCGGU
RNAcentral lists this ribosomal RNA (503 nucleotides) under uncultured bacterium. RNAcentral describes it as "bacterial SSU rRNA". It matches the Rfam family "Bacterial small subunit ribosomal RNA", at positions 28 to 521 of the family's 1533-position model. The record is from RNAcentral.